AUACGGAGGGUGCGAGCGUUAAUCGGAAUUACUGGGCGUAAAGCGUGCGCAGGUGGUUUUGUAAGUCAGAUGUGAAAUCCCCGGGCUUAACCUGGGAACUGCGUUUGAAACUGCAAGGCUAGAGUGUGGCAGAGGGGGGUGGAAUUCCGCGUGUAGCAGUGAAAUGCGUAGAGAUGUGGAGGAACACCGAUGGCGAAGGCAGCCCCCUGGGUCAGCACUGACGCUCAGGCACGAAAGCAUGGGGAGCAAACAGGAUUAGAUACCCCGGUAGUCC
RNAcentral lists this ribosomal RNA (274 nucleotides) under uncultured bacterium. Its description in RNAcentral is "partial 16S ribosomal RNA". It matches the Rfam family "Bacterial small subunit ribosomal RNA", at positions 523 to 796 of the family's 1533-position model. The record is from RNAcentral.